Molecule: long non-coding RNA, 2573 nt
Filed under: Carica papaya (papaya)
Lineage: Eukaryota; Viridiplantae; Streptophyta; Magnoliopsida; Brassicales; Caricaceae
Description: long non-coding RNA (CPAP_LNC015544)
Source: RNAcentral
GGCUCUUCCUGUUUUUAAAAGAUUCAAGGCUCAUGUUGAAGAGGAAGCAGAUGUUUUCCUCAAACGUUUAAGGACUGAUAGAGGUGGUGAGUUCACCUCGAUUGAUUUUGAGGCAUUUUGUGUCCUAAAUUGUGACAAUUAAAACACUCAUCAGUAAAGUUGUUGAUGAGUGGGGCACCAGGACCUAUUCCUGGCAUUUUCCCUAUGAAUGUCCUCAAAGGGAUAUUGGAGCCAACUAUGCCGAACUAAAUGAAGAAGAAGAGCUGUUAUUGAUGUCGUAUGUUGAGCUUAACCAAGCACAAAGAGAAGAGAUUUGGUUCCUUGACUCCGGUUGUAGCAAUCACAUGAGUGGGAAUAAAGAAUGGUUCUCCGAUUUGGAUGUCCACUUCAGGCAAACCGUGAAGCUAGGGGAUAAUUCAAGGAUGUCAGUUAUGGGGAAGGGAAAUAUUCGGAUGCAAGUCAAAGGAAUCACUCAGGUAAUAUCUGAAGUUUAUUACAUACCUGAGCUGAAAAAUAACUUGUUGAGUAUGGGGCAGCUGCAAGAAAAAGGUGUGUCAAUUUUAAUUCAGCAUGGAAAAUGCAAAGUCUUUCAUCCUAGUAAGGGCCUGAUUAUUGAGUCUGAAAUGAGUGCAAACAGAAUGUUUGUUUUGCUUGCAAACAUGAAACCUGAAGUUACUACUUGUUUUCAAGCAGUAACAGAAAUGAGAAUUAUUUGUGGCACCGCAGGUUUGGGCAUUUAAGCUUCAAAGGCUUGAAAACUCUUCAAAACAAAAGGAUGGUGAAUGGUUUGCCUUCACUCACAGAACCUCAAAAGCUGUGCAUUACCUGUUUAGCCGGAAAACAACACAAGGAAGCUAUUCCAAAAAGAAGUCUGUGGAGGGCAACACAAAAACUUCAGUUGGUGCACGCUGAUAUAUGUGGUCCUAUCAAACCUACAUCAAAUAGUAAUAAGAGGUAUUUCCUAAGUUUUAUUGAUGAUUUCAGCCGUAAAACUUGGAUUUAUUUCUUAGAUGAAAAAUCGGAGGCUCUUACUGUUUUUAAAAGAUUCAAGGCUCAUGUUGAAAAGGAAGCAGAUGUUUUCCUUAAAUGUUUAAGGACUGAUAGAGGUGGUGAGUUCACCUCGAUUGAUUUUGAGGCAUUUUGCAAGGAAAAUGGCAUAUCCAGGCAAUUGACAGCAGCUUAUACUCCUCAGCAAAACGGAGUUGCAGAAAGGAAGAAUAGGACUGUGAUGAACAUGGUGCGAUGUAUACUAACAGAGAAGCAAGUUCUAAAGAUCUUUUGGCCAGAAGCAGCUAAGUGGUGUGUGCACGUCCUCAACAGGUGUCCUACCUUAGCCGUGAAAGAUCGAACUCCGGAGGAAGCAUGGAGUGGUGUGAAGCCUACUAUACAACAUUUCAGAGUUUUUGGUUGCUUGGCCCAUGUGCAUGUACCUGACCAGAAGAGAAUCAAGUUAGAUGAUAAAAGCUUCAAAUGUGUUUUGUUGGGAGUAAGUGAUGAGUUGAAGGCUUAUCGGUUGUAUGAUCCCAUUUCUAAAAAGAUAGUUGUUAGCAAGGAUGUCAUUUUUGAGGAGAAUGAAAAAUGGAAUUGGAAUAUGAGCAAAGAGGAAAAGGCCUUGGAUUUGCUGGAUUGGGGAGAUAUUGAGGAAGGAGAUGCAGUAGAAAAUGGAACACCUGGGGUAGAGGAGAACAGAAUAACACAAGCUGAUUCAAGUGGCACAAGCUUAUCAUCUCUUAAUCAAGCAACUGGUUCAUGUAGCAGUACACCGUCAUCUAACGACACAGAUGAUGGGAACUCUCAGAGUCAAGAUUGUUAAGAUUGUUUAAUGAUAUGAUGAGUAGUGGAGUUCAGCCAGAUGAAACUACGUGGGUCUCCGUGAUUUCUUCCUGUUCGUCAAAAGGUGAUCCUGAACUUGCAGAGUUGGUUGUGAAGUUGCUUGAUGGGAAGGGUAUAGUUAUGAAUUAUUAUGUGAAGACUGCGUUGCUUGAUAUGCAUGCAAAGUGUGGGAAUAUUAAGAUUGCUAAAAGGAUUUUUGAUGAGUUGGGUAAGAACAGGAAUGUUGUUAGCUGGAACGCCAUGAUUUCAGCCUAUACAAGAGCUGGAGAGUUGAAGUCAUCUAGGGAACUGUUUGAUAAAAUGCCUGAAAGAAAUGUUGUAUCUUGGAACUCUAUGAUUUCUGGUUACGCUCAAAAUGGACAAUCUGCAGAAGCAAUUCAGCUUUUCAAGCAAAUGAUUAGAACUGCUAAUUCUAAUGAUUUGAAACCAGAUGAGGUGACAAUGGCAGUUGUCAUCUCAGCAUGUGCACAUCUUGGCGCUUUAGAAUUGGGCAGUUGGGUGGUUAAAUAUAUGAUUGAAAACCACAUCAAGUUGAGUAUUUCAGGUUAUAAUUCUUUGAUCUUUAUGUAUGCCAAAUGUGGCAGCAUGAGAGAUACCAAGAGCAAGUGAUUAUCAGAGAGAGAGGGAGGGAGAACUUUUACGCGAUGGCUAGCUCAUUGAGAGCACGCGGGUCUCUGGUGGUACUAGCAAUCAUCUUCUUCGGAUGUCUCGUUGCAAUUUCCAUUGCAAAGGAAGAAGCC